RNAcentral lists this ribosomal RNA (279 nucleotides) under uncultured bacterium. RNAcentral's name for it is "partial 16S ribosomal RNA". It matches the Rfam family "Bacterial small subunit ribosomal RNA", at positions 506 to 784 of the family's 1533-position model. The record is from RNAcentral.
UGCCAGCCGCCGCGGUAAUACGGAGGGGGCAAGCGUUGUUCGGAAUUACUGGGCGUAAAGGGCGUGUAGGCGGCACAAUUAGUCAGGCGUGAAAGCCCCGGGCUCAACCUGGGAACUGCGUUUGAUACUGUUGUGCUAGAGACCGGAAGAGGGUAGUGGAAUUUCCAGUGUAGAGGUGAAAUUCGUAGAUAUUGGAAAGAACACCAGUGGCGAAGGCGGCUACCUGGUCCGGAUCUGACGCUGAGGCGCGAAAGCGUGGGGAGCAAACAGGAUUAGAUA